RNAcentral lists this ribosomal RNA (233 nucleotides) under uncultured Mollicutes bacterium. Its description in RNAcentral is "partial 16S ribosomal RNA". It matches the Rfam family "Bacterial small subunit ribosomal RNA", at positions 1146 to 1381 of the family's 1533-position model. Lineage: Bacteria; Bacillati; Mycoplasmatota; Mollicutes. The record is from RNAcentral.
AGACUGCCAGUGACAAACUGGAGGAAGUGGGGAUGACGUCAAAUCAUCAUGCCCUUAUGACCUGGGCUACAAACGUACUACAAUGGCCAAUACAAAGAGAUGCGAAGUCGCGAGAUGGAGCGAACCUCAAAAAAUGGUCUCAGUUCAGAUUGAAGUCUGCAACUCGACUUCAUGAAGGCGGAAUCGCUAGUAAUCGCGGGUCAGCAGACCGCGGUGAAUACGUUCCCGGGUUU